ACACUUUUUCGGAUUUUUAGGAAUAUUUUGGGUAUUCUAUUACAAUCAACGACGUCUUUUAUCGCAAUUUCACUAAAAAAUUUCGUUGAGAAACAAUUAAAUAUUUAAUUAUAUUAAGUUUAAAUAAUUGGUACUGGCGUGAUUUGGACAUCAUCUGUUGAAUGUUCACCAAUCGGACAUUGCUGCCAAUAUUAAAAUGUGAGAUGGGGGAACGCGGUCAAUUGCAAUUCUAGUUAUCUUUGGAUCAAUAAAUUUAAAUAUAUUUUUUAUUUAAAUUAAUUUCCUGUAAUUUUUGGAUGUUGGUCGAACCAGGAUUCCUCGUCUUUCAAAUGCUACACAUUGCUAACCACUCUAUUAGCUACACCAAUGUGUAUAAAGUCUAAAUCCUACUCGCUCAGCGAGAUGGUUCGCUAGGUUUGGGACCGCACGUUGAAAUCAGUUUUAAUUAAAAAGGGAGCCAGAUGAUAUACCCCCUUCUGAUGACGAUUGCUCCAAAAGCUUUAAUCAUUAAUUUUAAGGGUAGGCAGCUAGAAUGUUCGCUCAUUUUAGUGGACAGAUUCCGACGACCAAGUUGGUAGAUGUCAUCAUCCUGGAAAUACGGAAUUUGCGACGGGGCAUCCGUUAAUCAGCAUAUGCCUUAAUCAGCGUCUUAGAUGUGCGUACUGCUAAUGUCGCAGUAGAUGCUAGUAGAUUUGAUGGAAACUCAACCGGCUAUAGCCUGAGGUUUUUUACGGGUAUAGGAUGGUCAAAAGAAAUACAUGCGGCUCAAAACCUAAAGGCUAGAAAACACGGCAGGAGGAGGCCCUAAUGCAUAGCGUAAAUUGUCACCUGCCGAAGGGAUGAAAGAGUCGGUGGAAUGGUCCAGAAUUUAUCUACGUUGAAGAAGAACUCGUUGCCAAAUAUAAUAUCAAUAAUACACAAUAAUACUAAACAGCUGAUUUCGAAAGAGAAAAAAUCGUACUCUCGAAAAAUCAUUCUCUCUGUGCAUUUAGAAUUGAUGGUUUUUUUCUUAGCGGAUUUCUAAGUCCUCGAGGGAGAAUUUUCCCGAGAGUAUUAAGAAUUGGGCUGUAUUAUUAUAAAUUCACAGGAAAAGUAUUUUCACUAAAAGCUAAUUUGUUUAUUUAUAAUGCGCAAUUGGAAAAAUAUGCAGCGUUACAUAUGAUAUAAUG
Long non-coding RNA from Ceratitis capitata (Mediterranean fruit fly), 1169 nucleotides. RefSeq lists it as uncharacterized. Lineage: Eukaryota; Metazoa; Arthropoda; Insecta; Diptera; Tephritidae. The record is from RefSeq and is a predicted model, not a curated record. The transcript has 3 exons.